AUCCACCAUGAUUUUUCUGCUAUCGCGCUCAUCCGGGUGUUAGGCAUCCUCAGUCUGUCCAGAACUUUCCCUGUGGAAGGAUGUAUUUAAGUGAGGUGCGAUUUCUUGUGCAACGUACUUUGCUCAUUUACGUUUUGUGCCGUGUUCCUUCUUCCUCAGUUAUGGAAUGAUUUAUCCUAGCAAAUUGUUGAGGUAAGUUUCUUGCUGUGUGCUUGUGCAGGUACAUUCAACUAACCUUUGGCGUCUAAAAAGUUACAGGUGUGUGCGCUAUUUAUCAACGACUGCAUGCUGACCUCGUCAACAAUCUUCAAAGUGAGCGACGGAAUGAAAACGUUUUCCAGUUUUAAAAUAUUAAACCCCCGGUGAGGACGUCAUUACUUAACAGAAGCCGGUUCAACACGCGCAGCUCCUGUUCAUGACGUCAUCACUAAAAUGAAGCCAGCUGGACACGCGCAGCACGGAUGGUACCCCGAGCGCGGUAGGAGGAAGGAAGAACGGUAAAUUUGGAAGGGGGAAAGCGUUCUGCCGUGUACACAGCGGGAGUAUGCCAAAACACAUGUGGGAAGGGAGAGAGAUAUUAUUCAAUAAACAGCAUGCGAAUGUGUGCGUAUAGCAAA
This is a long non-coding RNA of Anopheles gambiae (African malaria mosquito), 617 nucleotides long. RefSeq lists it as uncharacterized. The transcript has 2 exons. Lineage: Eukaryota; Metazoa; Arthropoda; Insecta; Diptera; Culicidae. The record is from RefSeq and is a predicted model, not a curated record.